GCGCAGCAGGCGAGAAUCCUCCACAAUGCACGAAAGUGUGAUGGGGUUACCCUGAGUGCCAUCCGAUGAGGAUGGCUUUUCACCAGUGUAAGGCGCUGGUGGAAUAAGGGGAGGGCAAGGCUGGUGCCAGCCGCCGCGGUAAAACCAGGCUCCUCGAGUGGUCGGGAUGAUUAUUGGGCCUAAAGCGUCCGUAGCCGGUCUGGUAAGUCCCCGGUUAAAUCCGGCAGCCUAACUGUCGGCCUGCUGGGGAUACUGCUAGACUUGGGGGUGGGAUAGGCUAAAGGUACUCCCAGGGUAGGGUGAAAUCCUAUAAUCCUGGGGGGACCACCAGUGGCGAAGGCGUUUAGCUGGAACACGGCCCGACGGUGAGGGACG
Molecule: ribosomal RNA, 375 nt
Filed under: uncultured microorganism
Description: bacterial SSU rRNA
Rfam family: Archaeal small subunit ribosomal RNA
Source: RNAcentral